This 447-nucleotide ribosomal RNA is filed under the name uncultured bacterium. RNAcentral's name for it is "partial 16S ribosomal RNA". It matches the Rfam family "Bacterial small subunit ribosomal RNA", at positions 29 to 523 of the family's 1533-position model. The record is from RNAcentral.
AGCGAACGCUGGCGGCAGGCUUAACACAUGCAAGUCGAACGGUCCUUCGGGAUAGUGGCGGACGGGUGAGUAACACGUGGGAACGUACCCUUAGGUUCGGAACAACACAGGGAAACUUGUGCUAAUACCGGAUAAGCCCUUCGGGGGAAAGAUUUAUCGCCUUUGGAGCGGCCCGCGUCUGAUUAGCUUGUUGGUGAGGUAAUGGCUCACCAAGGCUACGAUCAGUAGCUGGUCUGAGAGGAUGGCCGGCCACACAGGGACUGGGACAAGGCCCAGACUCCUACGGGAGGCAGCAGUGGGGAAUCUUGCGCAAUGGGCGAAAGCCUGACGCAGCCAUGCCGCGUGGAUGAUGAAGGUCUUAGGAUUGUAAAAUCCUUUCACCGGGGACGAUAAUGACGGUACCCGGAGAAGAAGCCCCGGCUAACUUCGUGCCAGCCGCCGCAGUAA